GACGAACGCUGGCGGCGUGCCUAAUACAUGCAAGUCGAACGCACAGUUUAUACCGUAGCUUGCUACACCAUAGACUGUGAGUUGCGAACGGGUGAGUAACGCGUAGCUAACCUGCCUGGUAGCGGGGGAUAACUAUUGGAAACGUUAGCUAAUACCGCAUAAUAUUAAUUAUUCCAUGAUAAUUAAUUGAAAGGUGCAAUUGCACAACUACAAGAUGGCCCUGCGUUGUAUUAGCUAGUAGGUGAGGUAACGGCUCACCUAGGCGACGAUACAUAGCCGAACUGAGAGGGUGAUCGGCCACACUGGGACUGAGACACGGCCCAGGCUCCUACGGGAAGGAAGAGGAGGGAAACUUUGGCAAAUGACGAAAAUCUGAACGAACAACGCCGCGGGGGUGAAGAAGGUUUUCGGAACGUAAAGCUCUGUUGUAAGAGAAGAACGGGUGUGAGAGUGGAAAGUUCACACUGUGACGGUAUCUUACCAGAAAGGGACGGCUAACUACGUG
This 505-nucleotide ribosomal RNA is filed under the name uncultured bacterium. Its description in RNAcentral is "partial 16S ribosomal RNA". It matches the Rfam family "Bacterial small subunit ribosomal RNA", at positions 28 to 507 of the family's 1533-position model. The record is from RNAcentral.